UACAGAGGGUGCGAGCGUUAAUCGGAAUUACUGGGCGUAAAGCGUGCGUAGACGGUUAUCUAAGUCGGAUGUGAAAGCCCCGGGCUCAACCUGGGAAUUGCAUUCGAGACUGAAUAGCUAGGGUACGGUAGAGGGGGAUGGAAUUCCGCGUGUAGCGGUGAAAUGCGUAGAUAUCUGGAGGAACACCGGUGGCGAAGGCGGCAUCCUGGACCAAUAUUGACGCUGAGGAGCGAAAGCCAGGGGAGCAAACGGG
RNAcentral lists this ribosomal RNA (253 nucleotides) under uncultured bacterium. RNAcentral's name for it is "partial 16S ribosomal RNA". It matches the Rfam family "Bacterial small subunit ribosomal RNA", at positions 524 to 776 of the family's 1533-position model. The record is from RNAcentral.